UGGAGCAAAGAUUGGCGCAGUUUCCAAAAAUAAGACGUCCGCUAUAGAUAUAGCUGCGUACUUUGGUAACCCUCGCACAGUUCGUUUGCUGUUGGAUCGUGGUGCGGAUGUGAAAAAUAAGUCUGUGUUUGGAAAAGGAUGUUUGGACUCCGCCAUUAAAGGAUCCCGGGAACAAACCUGUAUGGAAAUAAUCAAACACAAACGCUGGAAAGAAUCUGUUGAAGUCAGGGACGAUGAUGGAUUUUGCAUGAUGAAGCAACUUAUUGAAAAAUUUCCUGAUGUGGCCAAGGUAGUAAUGGACAAAUGUGUCGAGACUUCUGAUCACCUGAAGACAGAUGCAGAUUUCUCAACAUCUUUCAACUUUGUGUUUCUCGAUCCCAUACCGGGAGAGCAAAUUAAUGACGAGGG
Orbicella faveolata is the source of this 408-nucleotide long non-coding RNA. NCBI's taxonomy places the organism in Eukaryota, Metazoa, Cnidaria, Anthozoa, Scleractinia, Merulinidae. The record is from RefSeq and is a predicted model, not a curated record.